Molecule: long non-coding RNA, 736 nt
Organism: Labrus mixtus (cuckoo wrasse)
Lineage: Eukaryota; Metazoa; Chordata; Actinopteri; Labriformes; Labridae
Exons: 4
Source: RefSeq, a predicted model, not a curated record
GUCUGUCUGAAACAUGCUGCUACACAGAUCUACUCUCUGCUCCUCUCUGAACGUGAGAUGCUGCAUCCUCCAUUGACCACAUGUUGGAGCCAAACAUCAGAGAUGGGAUAGAGCUACAAACCUGAUGCCUGUGGGACUGCAGGUGGAGCCUCUGACGAGCUGCUCUGUGAGGAGCUUAGUGUCCCGCUGAAGGCCGACUACAGGUGGGAGUGGUGUCGGAGCAGCUGGGGCAGCAAACACCAGGAAGAGCAGCGUGCUGAAAGGGGGGUAGGUCUGACAUUUCCACAGUAUUUUCUAUGUCAUGACUUGAAACCCAAUCGUGUACUGCCGUGGCAGAGACUCCUCCUCUCUGCUGGGGAAUCUAAACAUUGGGAGAUAAACGUCAGGACUUGGCACAGGUUCACGUUAACCCUGUUUACCAGAACCUGACUGAAGACCUGAAACAUUCUGCUUCUGUGCACUCAUUAACUCUUCACUUCAGUAUAAAUGUUCUGCUAAUUCUUUUUUACUGUUUCCACUUCAGUCCAACGUGCCCGUCUCGUCUGGAUGAGAAGGCCUUCUGCUGGCCAUAACCCCCGGACACACCCGGGUGUAGUUUCUUCAGCAGGCGUGUCUGCUCCCCCUGACGGAGGUGCAGGGUCAAUGUAAACAUCUGUUACAUUUUGUUGGAAAGAAUCACCUGCUGUGAUACCUGCUUGAAUUGUAAUAAAAGUUGAACUUGAAGAACCUCACAUUA